UCACGACCGGUGGCUUUGGAUGGGGAGAGAUUUUUGAGCUUAUUCGACCAAAGAAAAAGGUAUCCUGGAGCUAGUAGAGUUGCUUCGUGAAGCUGAAAUGACGACCGAUAAGACUAGUGAUUCUGCCAAACUAAUGGACACUGCUAGAGCCCUACUUGGGGUACGCCCUACCCAUGACGUGUAGUCCCAAGCUCCACCACCAACUGCCUGACCCUCCAGUACCCAAUUCGAUGAUGACUUGUACUCCAACCCCGACUUCUUGAAGGUUGUGGAAGAGAUAGAGUGUGCGGUUCACGAGCGGAAUGUUUUCUCUAAUGUGCCCUCAUUUAGCUUGGAGCUGUCACAGGGUGCAAGCACGUCACACAUGGAGCAUACGACUACCAUUGGCACAGUUGCUCCCCGUGGUGGAGCGCAGGCGGGUGGCAUUGAGCAAGCUCGUGUAGAGCGUGCCUUAGGAUGAGGAGAUCUUUCGCUACAAGGAACACUGUGUAUCGCAUGGGGACAUCGCUACUUUGAAGGAUGGGUCUAAGAUUGACUUUGUUAUAGUGGAUGCUUGGACUUGCAUCCUGAACUACCGGGAGCUUACCAAAGCCAAUGGUGCUCCAAACAGGCUGUUUGCGUCCACGAUGAUGAUGCUUGGCUAGCUUCAAACUGUGGUGAACCACAAACCACCCCGGUCCCAACGCUUGAGAUGGUUCAAAAAGAGCCUAGCAGUGGACUUUAGCAACUCACC
This is a long non-coding RNA of Ipomoea triloba (trilobed morning glory), 733 nucleotides long. RefSeq lists it as uncharacterized. The record is from RefSeq and is a predicted model, not a curated record. The transcript has 4 exons. Lineage: Eukaryota; Viridiplantae; Streptophyta; Magnoliopsida; Solanales; Convolvulaceae.